This is a long non-coding RNA of Heterocephalus glaber (naked mole-rat), 688 nucleotides long. RefSeq lists it as uncharacterized. Lineage: Eukaryota; Metazoa; Chordata; Mammalia; Rodentia; Bathyergidae. The record is from RefSeq and is a predicted model, not a curated record.
ACUAUUUGUAUUAAUCAGUAUCUUACCAUAUAUAUGAGUAUAUGAGAAAUCAAAUUGAAAACGGAGAAGUACAGGAAAUGAAGAAACAGAGUGACUCAGAUAUCAGCAACACAGGAAAUGUACCAUGAGAGACACAAGGGAGCAAGGGAGGGGUAUUUUUAUGGGACUAUAGGGCUGGGGAAUUUGAAACUCCAGUUGGCCUCUCUUGCCAUGAAGUCAUGCUAGAGACACAGCCCAAGGGAGAAACAGAGACAUUUGGGCUUAGAUCUGUACUCAUGGUGAAUUGGACCCUUCAUAGGCAACAGAAGAUGCUUAUAUAUAACAUCAAAGUUUAAAGGAGCAGCCUACCCAGAGCAUCACUGUUUGGUGGGGACAAGACAGAAAAUGAGAGGGGCCAAGGAAUGAGAAAGUAUAAGAAGACUCUCUGAUGCAGUGAAAAAAGGCAUUAUUUAAGAUGGUGUUUCCCUUGUAUAGGGGACCCUAGAAGAUGUUAUAUACCAAGAAAACUCACUACACUGCCAGCCUUUAGAGAAGAAAUUGAAAAUACAUAUUCGGCAAUCUCAAUGACCAAAGUUACCCAAGCAGCAGUUGGUUAUACUAAUAAAUGUCUGGAAGAUAAUGGCCAUCACUUUGAGCACCUCUUGUAAUUGUAGAGGCCAAACAUAACUUGUAUCUCAUAAUACCUCAA